RNAcentral lists this ribosomal RNA (519 nucleotides) under uncultured bacterium. Its description in RNAcentral is "bacterial SSU rRNA". It matches the Rfam family "Bacterial small subunit ribosomal RNA", at positions 8 to 518 of the family's 1533-position model. The record is from RNAcentral.
AGAGUUUGAUUAUGGCUCAGGAUGAACGCUAGCGACAGGCUUAACACAUGCAAGUCGAGGGGCAGCAUAGAAGUAGCAAUACUUUGGUGGCGACCGGCGCACGGGUGAGUAACGCGUAUGCAACCUACCUAUCAGAGGGGAAUAACCCGGCGAAAGUCGGACUAAUACCGCAUAAAACAGGGGCACCGCAUGGUGAUAUUUGUUAAAGAAAUUCGCUGAUAGAUGGGCAUGCGUUCCAUUAGGUAGUUGGUGAGGUAACGGCUCACCAAGCCGACGAUGGAUAGGGGAACUGAGAGGUUGGUCCCCCACACUGGUACUGAGACACGGACCAGACUCCUACGGGAGGCAGCAGUGAGGAAUAUUGGUCAAUGGGCGGGAGCCUGAACCAGCCAAGUCGCCGUGAAGGAAGAAGGAUCUAUGGUUCGUAAACUUCUUUUGCAGGGGAAUAAAGUGCAGGACGUGUCCUGUUUUGUAUGUACCCUGAGAAUAAGGAUCGGCUAACUCCGUGCCAGCCGCGGC